GUAGGGCCAAUCGCCGCCCCAAACACCUUGAGCGAAGCCCAAUCAGCGGCCGAAGAGAUUGAGAGUGGCGUGCAGACCGUCAACAAGUUAAGGCCAUUCUAUGAUUCUAAGAGCUCACCAGCAGCAGCAGCCUCCAGCCACCCCCUAGAACUGCAUUUAUGGGACAACUCAGCCCCUACAGCUGACAGGUGCUGUUGAGGUCAGCACGGACAGAUGGCAGCUCCAAAUGUGCCUCCCAGGCUCUCCAGCAGAGGUCAGGCUCACCAACAGCAGCUCAACACAGCCAAGUCCACUGAGCUUUUUGCGUGUUAUCCUGAAGAGUGCACAGACUGAAGCUACUAAUAGAGCAUUCUCAAUAAGCAAACAU
This is a long non-coding RNA of Phasianus colchicus (ring-necked pheasant), 367 nucleotides long. RefSeq lists it as uncharacterized. Lineage: Eukaryota; Metazoa; Chordata; Aves; Galliformes; Phasianidae. The record is from RefSeq and is a predicted model, not a curated record.